AUUACAUCCGGUUUCGCGCCUUAUUUCAUGUUGACACAAGUGCAUAGAUUGAUUGACGGUCGCUUUAGUAUGAUUUGCAAGUUUGUUUGUUUAUUUGGCUGAUGUGUACAACUAUCAUCUAGAAUACACAAAUUGUUGAACGCCUUGUCAUUGAUGGAAUAAUGUUGGUAUUAUUUUUCAAUUGCGCUGCGUAUUAAGUAAAAGUACUUUCAUUUUUUUAUAAUAUAUUGUAUGUUUAUUCCCAAUCUGAAGCAUUUAUUGUAUAUGGUUACGAAUAAUAUUCUAUAUAAAUGUGUUUAGACAUAGGAAAGUUCAGUUUAAACUUCGUACAGCAAGCUAUAUAUUUUUGUGUGAAUGACCGUUGAUUGAAUCAACAAUUCUAUUGGCUUUUGUUGCAAAUGACUGUAUAUGUUGAUUAGGAUUAAAGCAAUAAUCUGAUCAAUGAUCGGCAGGUUAGUUCGAGUUGUUUAAUUGACAAUGUUCUUCCUACACUUAUGUAGAACAAGAUUUUCCCUAUCGAUUUCGUAAUCUGAUACAAAUCAUUCUAUAGCAGAAUAGGUUGAAUUUUCGGCUAAAAGAGUUAAUUUUUCUGAAUACGAUCAGAAGUAUAACAGGAAUUUAGCUCAAUUAUUCUACUAUUAAAUUAUUUAGUUUGCUUGCGUGCGCUAAGUGUUAAAGAGUUUUUAAUAAAAAUUCAAAAGCUGAUUUACCUCCUACACAGAUAUAUAGAUCACAAAGCGAUACUAUGGAUAGUUAUGAAAAUCUUGGCCUUGUUGGAGAAGGUUCCUAUGGAAUGGUGCUAAAAUGUAGACAAAAGGAGACAGGUCAAUUGGUUGCUAUAAAAAAAUUUUUAGAAAGUGAAGAUGAUAAGCAAGUGAAGAAGAUAGCUAUGAGAGAGAUUAAAAUGCUAAAGCAACUUCGUCAUGAAAAUCUAGUCAAUUUGAUAGAAGUAUUUCGUAAGAAAAGUCGACUUUUUCUGGUAUUUGAAUUUGUUGACCAUACUGUUCUCGACGAGCUGGAGAAAUAUCCUUCUGGCUUAAAUGAACAAAUAACGAAAGAGGUUCUAUGGCAAGUAAUUAGAGGAAUUGACUUUUGUCACGCCCAUAAUAUUAUACAUAGAGAUGUCAAACCUGAAAAUAUUCUAGUAAGCAAAUUACGCGUGGUUAAGCUAUGCGACUUUGGUUUUGCUCGAACGUUGGCCCUAUCCCCAGGCGAAGCUUAUACGGAUUACGUGGCAACACGAUGGUAUAGGGCGCCAGAAUUAUUGGUUGGCGAUACUAAUUAUGGUAAAGCCGUUGAUAUUUGGGCUAUAGGUUGUUUAUUUAUUGAGAUGCUUACUGGUGAUCCUCUCUUUCCCGGGGAAUCUGAUAUUGAUCAACUAUACCACAUUGUUAAGUGCUUCGGCAAUCUUAUUGCGAGGCACAGAGAUAUAUUUCAUAAAAAUCCCCUCUUCGUUGGUAUGAGAUUACCGAGUGUUAAUGAAGUUGAAAGCCUGGGGAAUCGAUAUCCAAGACUCGAUUCGAUAGCUUUAGAUUUAGUAAAGCAAUGCCUUUGUGUCGACCCGAGUGAGAGACCGACCUGCUCACAACUACUUCGCCAUGGAUUGUUUAUAAAAGAUGAUUUUGCAACAAAGUUCCCUGAAGAAUUAAAGGCUCGGAUCGAAGAAGAAGAGCGCCAGAAUCCUCUACCUCGAAAAAGUAUAAGAAAUAAGUCUGAUGGCGAUCGGAAGAGGAGAGAAGAAGGAGAUAGACCGAGAAGAAAAUUACCCGAUCCCGAAAAAUUAAAGAUCAAAUCUCAUAAUGAAAUAUCGACGACGCCUACGUCAUCUGACCCUAAAAAUGGUCAAAUCAGGUUUAUAAAUGAUUCUUUUGAAUAUUAAUCUUAUUGAAUAGCUACUGUUUAUCGAUUAUUUCAUAUGCCUAUUCUUUUUGUGCAGACAAUAUACGGGUGGUAAUCCGGCUUGGUAAGGGCAAUUCGUUCUUUUAAAAGGCAAAAUAUUCUCAUUAGCUUUGUCACUUUUGUAGGACAAUGGAGAAAACCCCACUUAAGAAAGUUCUACCGCAGGGGAGCAUUUCAAAUAAAUUUAAAAAAACGACCAACAAUAUUCCAUUCUCUCAGUUGCAAAGUAGAAAAAAUACUGUCCAAUUACCUUCCGUUAGGGGAGCCGAAGGUCCAACUCUUUCCAAGCCCACCCCAAUAAAAAACACAACAACAAUUAAGAAACCGUCCAUGAUUGCAUCUGUCCCUCAUAUUGCCAAUAUAGAUCCGUUCCACGACAGUCAGGCGUCUAACGCUGGUGGAGCGUCCAACUUGCCAUCCGUUUGAGCAUUUACCUAAAUGAAAUAGCUAAAAACAAAUCAAAAAAUGCAAUGUUUGUUUUUUUUUUUAAAUUUCAGUAUUAAAAAAAUGAUAUCAAGAAAAUAAAAAGGAAGAGAAAAAGAAGAAAAAGAUCUUAUCUAAAAAAGGGAUAAUUAUUAAGAAUUGUGUAUUGAGAGUUUUCUGUUUUCUUCCUUUUUUAAGAUCUUCUCUUAUGCUAAUCAGUAUUGGCAUUCCUAAUUUGUAUUAUUGUAGCUAUAAACUACUUUAUCACUAUUAAAAACAAUACAAUUUAUACAUUGUUAUUUGUAAUUAUUGAAGAGUAUGUAUUAUUUGUACAUAAAAUUUAUCUUUUUUAUAAGUUACUCUCAAGAGUAGAAGGAAUAGAAGAUAGAAUAUCUCUCUGUCUCUGUCUCUCUCUUGCUCUUUCUUUUCUUUCUUUCAAGGUA
This 2765-nucleotide unclassified non-coding RNA is filed under the name Dimorphilus gyrociliatus. Its description in RNAcentral is "protein kinase domain-containing protein". The record is from RNAcentral. Lineage: Eukaryota; Metazoa; Annelida; Polychaeta; Dinophilidae.